GCCGGGUGUUGUGGCGGGUGCCUGUAGUCCCAGCUACUUGGGAGGCAGAGGCAGGAGACUCGCUUGAGCCCAGGAGUUGGAGGUUGCUGUGAGCUGUGACACCACAGCAAUCUACCAAGGACAAUAAAGUGAGACUCUGUCUAAA
Molecule: non-coding RNA, 145 nt
Filed under: Otolemur garnettii (small-eared galago)
Lineage: Eukaryota; Metazoa; Chordata; Mammalia; Primates; Galagidae
Source: Rfam by way of RNAcentral